RNAcentral lists this ribosomal RNA (425 nucleotides) under uncultured bacterium. RNAcentral's name for it is "partial 16S ribosomal RNA". It matches the Rfam family "Bacterial small subunit ribosomal RNA", at positions 354 to 796 of the family's 1533-position model. The record is from RNAcentral.
GUGGGGAAUCUUGCGCAAUGGGCGAAAGCCUGACGCAGCCAUGCCGCGUGAAUGAUGAAGGUCUUAGGAUUGUAAAAUUCUUUCACCGGGGACGAUAAUGACGGUACCCGGAGAAGAAGCUCCGGCUAACUUCGUGCCAGCAGCCGCGGUAAUACGAAGGGGGCUAGCGUUGCUCGGAAUUACUGGGCGUAAAGGGCGCGUAGGCGGACAGCUUAGUCAGAGGUGAAAGCCCAGGGCUCAACCUUGGAAUUGCCUUUGAUACUGGCUGUCUUGAGUGCGGGGGAGGUGAGUGGAACUCCGUGUGUAGGGGUGAAAUUCGUAGAUAUUCGGAAGAACACCAGUGGCGAAGGCGACUCACUGGCCCGUUACUGACGCUGAGGCGCGAAAGCGUGGGGAGCAAACAGGAUUAGAAACCCUUGUAGUCC